AGGGCUGCAAGCCGGCGACGGUAAGCCAAUCCCAGAAACCCUAUCUCAGUCCGGAUUGGAGUCUGCAACUCGACUCCAUGAAGUCGGAAUCGCUAGUAAUCGCAGAUCAGCAUUGCUGCGGUGAAUACGUUCCCGGGCCUUGUACACACCGCCCGUCACACCAUGGGAGUUUGUUGCACCAGAAGCAGGUAGCUUAACCUUCGGGAGGGCGCUUGCCACGGUGUGGCCGAUGACUGGGGUGAAGUCGUAACAAGGUAGCCGUAUCGGAAGGUGCGGUUGGAU
This 282-nucleotide ribosomal RNA is filed under the name Stenotrophomonas maltophilia. Its description in RNAcentral is "partial 16S ribosomal RNA". It matches the Rfam family "Bacterial small subunit ribosomal RNA", at positions 1243 to 1523 of the family's 1533-position model. Lineage: Bacteria; Pseudomonadati; Pseudomonadota; Gammaproteobacteria; Lysobacterales; Lysobacteraceae. The record is from RNAcentral.